Molecule: ribosomal RNA, 727 nt
Filed under: uncultured bacterium
Lineage: Bacteria
Description: bacterial SSU rRNA
Rfam family: Bacterial small subunit ribosomal RNA
Source: RNAcentral
UCAAACAGGAUUAGAUACCCUGGUAGUCCACACAGUAAACGAUGAAUACUAACUGUUUGCGAUAUUAAUGUAAGCGGUACAGCGAAAGCGUUAAGUAUUCCACCUGGGGAGUACGCCGGCAACGGUGAAACUCAAAGGAAUUGACGGGGGCCCGCACAAGCGGAGGAACAUGUGGUUUAAUUCGAUGAUACGCGAGGAACCUUACCCGGGCUCGAACGGUGUUGGAAUGAUUGUGAAAGCAGUCAGCUAGUAAUAGUCAAUAUCGAGGUGCUGCAUGGUUGUCGUCAGCUCGUGCCGUGAGGUGUCGGCUUAAGUGCCAUAACGAGCGCAACCCUUACCAUUAGUUACUAACAGGUUGAGCUGAGGACUCUAAUGGGACUGCCACCGUAAGGUGAGAGGAAGGUGGGGAUGACGUCAAAUCAGCACGGCCCUUACGUCCGGGGCGACACACGUGUUACAAUGGGUUGGACAAAAGGUCGCUACUCUGCAAAGAGAUGCUAAUCUUCAAACCAGCUCCCAGUUCGGAUUGGAGUCUGCAACUCGACUCCAUGAAGCUGGAUUCGCUAGUAAUCGCGCAUCAGCCAUGGCGCGGUGAAUACGUUCCCGGGCCUUGUACACACCGCCCGUCAAGCCAUGAAAGCCGGGGGUACCUGAAGUACGUAACCGUAAAGGAGCGUCCUAGGGUAAAACCGGUAAUUGGGGCUAAGUCGUAACAAGGUAGCCGUAA